This 371-nucleotide ribosomal RNA is filed under the name uncultured organism. Its description in RNAcentral is "partial 16S ribosomal RNA". It matches the Rfam family "Bacterial small subunit ribosomal RNA", at positions 527 to 896 of the family's 1533-position model. The record is from RNAcentral.
GUAGGUGGCAAGCGUUGUCCGGAAUUAUUGGGCGUAAAGCGCGCGCAGGCGGUUCUUUAAGUCUGAUGUGAAAGCCCACGGCUCAACCGUGGAGGGUCAUUGGAAACUGGAGAACUUGAGUACAGAAGAGGAAAGCGGAAUUCCACGUGUAGCGGUGAAAUGCGUAGAGAUGUGGAGGAACACCAGUGGCGAAGGCGGCUUUCUGGUCUGUAACUGACGCUGAGGCGCGAAAGCGUGGGGAGCAAACAGGGAUUAGAUACCCUGGUAGUCCACGCCGUAAACGAUGAGUGCUAAGUGUUAGGGGUUUCCCGCCCCUUAGUGCUGCAGCUAACGCAUUAAGCACUCCGCCUGGGGAGUACGCCGCAAGGCUG